RNAcentral lists this ribosomal RNA (261 nucleotides) under uncultured prokaryote. Its description in RNAcentral is "partial 16S ribosomal RNA". It matches the Rfam family "Bacterial small subunit ribosomal RNA", at positions 524 to 784 of the family's 1533-position model. The record is from RNAcentral.
UACGUAGGUGGCGAGCGUUAUCCGGAUUUACUGGGUGUAAAGGGCGUGUAGGCGGGUUUGCAAGUCGGGUGUGAAAGAUCCAGGCUUAACUUGGAGAGGUCAUCCGAAACUGCAGAUCUUGAGUGCUGGAGAGGAUAGUGGAAUUCCUGGUGUAGUGGUAAAAUGCGUAGAUAUCAGGAGGAACACCAGUGGCGAAGGCGGCUAUCUGGACAGUAACUGACGCUGAGGCGCGAAAGCGUGGGGAGCAAACAGGAUUAGAUA